Molecule: unclassified non-coding RNA, 280 nt
Filed under: Pseudeurotium sp.
Lineage: Eukaryota; Fungi; Ascomycota; Leotiomycetes; Thelebolales; Pseudeurotiaceae
Description: partial contains 5.8S ribosomal RNA, internal transcribed spacer 2, and large subunit ribosomal RNA
Rfam family: 5.8S ribosomal RNA (bases 1-71)
Source: RNAcentral
GUGAGUCAUCGAAUCUUUGAACGCACAUUGCGCCCCCUGGUAUUCCGGGGGGCAUGCCUGUUCGAGCGUCAUUACAACCCUCAAGCUCUGCUUGGUAUUGGGCUCUGCCGGUCCCGGCAGGCCUUAAAAUCAGUGGCGGUGCCAUCCGGCUUCAAGCGUAGUAAUUCUUCUCGCUUUGGAGGCCCGGGUGCGUGCUUGCCAGCAACCCCCAAUUUUCUCAGGUUGACCUCGGAUCAGGUAGGGAUACCCGCUGAACUUAAGCAUAUCAAUAAGCGGAGGA